This 780-nucleotide long non-coding RNA is filed under the name Anser brachyrhynchus (Pink-footed goose). RNAcentral's name for it is "lncRNA (ENSABRG00000015858.1)". Lineage: Eukaryota; Metazoa; Chordata; Aves; Anseriformes; Anatidae. The record is from RNAcentral.
CUCAGAAUGCUUGAAACAGUGAUGUCAUGUCACACCUCACUAUCUUGAGUAUUUCUGAUCCCUCAGGUUUGGUGGUGAACUUGGCAUCACCCACAAGGAGAGGUGCACAAAGUUUCCUGCAUCUUCUCCUUUCUCACAAACUCUUGAUGCUUCCGGGAGGAAUAGCUAGCUCUUCAUUCUCCACCUUAAAAAAGUGAAAUCUAUCUUAUGGCUCUGAUUCAAUAGUGCAUUUCAACACCUAUUUUAAAGCAUCAGACGAGCUCCAGUGAGCACAGGAAGUGUGUGGGCAGUCUGAAUGACAUAGGCGCAGAAAUAUCUCCCCUGGUUGUGUGCAGUCAGCUCUAGUUUGAAUGUAUGAGAAUAUCUUUGAGUUGGUCUUCAUCAUCACUCAGAAUCACACUACUGGGAAUGGCAGCAGUAUCCUUUGGCACAGCGAAGUCACCUCCAGAAAUAGUGGCUCACAGCUCUCCUCAGGUUAUGCCAAUAUCAUACGAUCAUCCACCAGCUGGGAUGGUUGCCUUCCCUCAUCUCUCUGGUGCCUUUUAGGUAGUUGGACCCAACUGUUUUGGAAUAAAUCAAGUGAGCAUCACCAGUUUUCCUUUGCUGAGCCACCUUCCCUCUGAUGGACAAAGUUCUCUUUUACCACACUGGGGUGAUCCGUAGCAGUUUGGUGCACUCCUUUAAAAAGAGCAGUGUCUGCAGUGAGCUAUUGUUUGAAUUACUAUGCAAUACAGUGGUUGUAAGAAUAAACUCUUUAAGUCAGAGAUCCUUGUGAAUAAC